CAGAGCUCCACCAUUUGUCGUUUCGUAAUCUCUCAAUCUCCGGCAAACUCUACAUCUUCCCAUCUUUAAUAACUUCUUCAUUAAUGGCAUCCUUUCGUAUCGUCUCCAUUAACUCUUCUUAUAUAACUUCUUCAUAGAUCGAGGAACUGCAUCUCGAAAAAUGACUUGAUUCCUCUACUAGGUUUUCUUUACAGCAUCUCAUCGAAAAUCCCUCUCUCUACUUCUCCAGUUGCUCUAACUGGAGCAGUGCAUCACUGCAUCUCAUAUCAAGUCAAAGCUUUAUUGAACCGGGGCAUAUUUCAACCCAUCACUGACAAUGUCCUCCUCCGCUGCGACUGUUGCUCAAAUAGGCGUCUCCUAUCUCUGCCUUGGUAUGACUUCUCAGUUCGUUGUUGGCCGAUCGUCCACUCUUAGGAUUCAAGGACCAUCAAGAAGAUUGGUGAAUUCUUGGAUAAGGGAUCUUUGACUGAUAUUUGCAUAUCGGGAAAACAAGGCUCUGCUUCACAUAACAAAACUGCUCACUGCAUCCACUUAGAAAAAUUCAGGACCUUUUGUAUAAAACCUAGACUGAUUAGAGGCUAAGAUCGAGACGCUGAGUCUCACUCUAGAGAAUCAACCAGAGUUUUAUUUGUCAAGAAAACAAGGCGGGCGAGGACCGAACCAGUGAAUCAUUCGAUAUCACCAUUCACCGGAGAGGCAGAUCAAAUAAGGCAACUCUUCCAUCUGCAACACAAGAGAUUUGUGGUAGAUUAGAUGUGGAAGGCAUGGACCUUCAAAGAAACUGAUUGCAGGUUAUGUCAAUUUCUCUUUACAAAGUAUGAAGCAACAAUUCAAGGAAUACAGGUCAAGCGUGAUUAAGGGAAUGGAAACGUCUUUAGUUGUUGGGCUGAGGGGAUAGAACUGAUACAGUGGAAAUAAACAUAUUUGGAAAGGAGCAAAGUAUUUGUAUUGUCACCUCUGAACUCAUUGCAGGCUCAAACCAAACAUGGAGAGUGUUGGAACCAUAAUAAGGUUAGGUUACUUAAGUCUAUGAUGGAUUCUGAAACUUCUCAAGACUACUGCCUUUUGUGAACACGCUCUACACCAAAGCAAGAAAAGAGGAAGCGGGUUGCAGAGGGGGGGAGUAAUGAUAAGUUUGGUAAUUUGGUUGUCACGAACUUUGCAUCGGAAUGGUUAUGGUCUUGGGUUCAUUAUUAAUUCAAAAGCUUUUAUGCAAGUAACGAGAGUUUUUUUUAUGUUGACUUUAUC
This is a long non-coding RNA of Raphanus sativus (radish), 1248 nucleotides long. RefSeq lists it as uncharacterized. The record is from RefSeq and is a predicted model, not a curated record. Lineage: Eukaryota; Viridiplantae; Streptophyta; Magnoliopsida; Brassicales; Brassicaceae. The transcript has 4 exons.